This 73-nucleotide transfer RNA is filed under the name Ovis aries (sheep). It matches the Rfam family "tRNA". From Rfam's summary of the family: Transfer RNA (tRNA) molecules are approximately 80 nucleotides in length. Their secondary structure includes four short double-helical elements and three loops (D, anti-codon, and T loops). The record is from Rfam by way of RNAcentral. Lineage: Eukaryota; Metazoa; Chordata; Mammalia; Artiodactyla; Bovidae.
UCCAAAGUGGCUCAGCGGUAAAGAAUCUGCCUGCAAAUGCAGGCAGACCCAGGUUCGAUCCCUGGGUUGGGAA